This 530-nucleotide long non-coding RNA is filed under the name Salmo salar (Atlantic salmon). Its description in RNAcentral is "lncRNA (ENSSSAG00000106999.1)". The record is from RNAcentral. Lineage: Eukaryota; Metazoa; Chordata; Actinopteri; Salmoniformes; Salmonidae.
CAAAAAGAGGAUGUCUUGUCCUGCUCCUGAAAUCUGCUCAUCUGCAACAGAGCAUUGGGGUCAAAUCGCAGGAAUUCCAAUGGCUGUCCAGUGUGGAAUCCGCUGUUUGUUUGUUUACCUCAACAAUUCUUCACGUGGCAAAGUCACUACAUGGCCUUAUUAACGGUGAGGUUGGUGUGGAUGUUUUGGAUCAGAUGGCACGGCUGUACUCUGUGCAAGGAGGCACCAGCCACUGAACUGCUGCUGUGUUCUACAACUUGCGUGACUUGUUGCUCAAGCAGUGCAGUUAAAAGCCCUUACAGAAUUAUCCACCAACAACGGACCAAGCAGCGGAGGAAGGAGCAGCACAAGGAGAGGCACCAGGAGAAAAGCUAUCUGGAGUCGUGGACUUGGGAGGAAAUCCUGGACGGGAAAGGACCAUGGGCUCAAGCUGGGGAUUAUCGCCGCCCGCAGUGGGAGAUCGAGGCGGCGAGAGCUGAGAGGCGCUGGUAUGAGGAAAGGGAGCGCAACGGACACGGGAGGCAGCCCCC